UGCUAUUGGGAUCCGACUAAGCCAUGCGAGUCGAGAGGGUUCGGCCCUCGGCUGACGGCUCAGUAACACGUGGAUAAUCUGCCCUAAGGUGGAGGAUAACCUCGGGAAACUGAGAAUAAUACUCCAUAAGUCUAGGAUGCUGGAAUGCACUUAGACUGAAAACUUCGGUGCCUUAGGAUGAGUCUGCGGACUAUCAGGUUGUAGUCAGGGUAAAGACCUGACUAGCCUACGACGGAUACGGGUUGUGAGAGCAAUAACCCGGAGAUGAUAUCUGAGACACGAUAUCAGGCCCUACGGGGCGCAGCAGGCGCGAAAACUUCGCACUGCGCGAAAGCGCGACGAGGGGAUCCCAAGUGUAUGCACGUAAGUGUAUACUGUUUCUCUGUCUAAAAAGCAGAGAGAGUAAGGCUGGGUAAGACGGGUGCCAGCCGCCGCGGUAAUACCCGCAGCUCAAGUGGUGAUCGUUAUUAUUGGGCCUAAAACGUCCGUAGCCGGUCUUGUAAAUGCCUGGGUAAAUCGUAUGGCUUAACCAUACGAAUUCCGGGUAGACUGUUAGACUUGAGACCGGGAGAGGCUAGAGGUACUCCUGGGGUAGAGGUGAAAUUCUGUAAUCCUGGGGGGACCACCAGUGGCGAAGGCGUCUAGCCAGAACGGGUCUGACGGUGAGGGACGAAGCCCUGGGGCGCAAACGG
Molecule: ribosomal RNA, 692 nt
Filed under: uncultured archaeon
Lineage: Archaea
Description: bacterial SSU rRNA
Rfam family: Archaeal small subunit ribosomal RNA
Source: RNAcentral